This 468-nucleotide ribosomal RNA is filed under the name uncultured bacterium. RNAcentral's name for it is "partial 16S ribosomal RNA". It matches the Rfam family "Bacterial small subunit ribosomal RNA", at positions 28 to 507 of the family's 1533-position model. The record is from RNAcentral.
GACGAACGCUGGCGGCGUGCUUAACACAUGCAAGUCGAACGGAAAGGCCCUGCUUUUGUGGUGUUCUCGAGUGGCGAACGGGUGAGUAACACGUGAGUAACCUGCCCUUGACUUUGGGAUAACUUCAGGAAACUGGGGCUAAUACCGGAUAGGAGCUCCUGCUGCAUGGUGGGGGUUGGAAAGUUUCGGCGGUUGGGGAUGGACUCGCGGAUUAUCAGCUUGUUGGUGGGGUAGUGGCUUACCAAGGAUUUGACGGGUAGCCCGACUGAGAGGGUGACCGGCCGCAUUGGGACUGAGAUACGGCCGAGAUGGCUAAGGUAGGCAGAAGGGGGGAAUAUUGAACAAGGGGCGGAGGCCUGAUGCAGCAACGCCGCGUGCGGGAUGACGGCCUUCGGGUGGUAAACCGCUUUCGCCUGUGACGAAGCGGGAGUGAAGGUAACGGGUAGAGAAGCACCGGCUAACUACGUG